AACGAACGCUGGCGGCAUGCCUAACACAUGCAAGUCGAACGAACCCUUCGGGGUUAGUGGCGCACGGGUGCGUAACGCGUGGGAAUCUGCCCUUUGCUUCGGAAUAACACAGAGAAAUUUGUGCUAAUACCGGAUAAUGUCGCAAGACCAAAGAUUUAUCGGCAAAGGAUGAGCCCGCGUAGGAUUAGCUAGUUGGUGGGGUAAUGGCCCACCAAGGCGACGAUCCUUAGCUGGUCUGAGAGGAUGAUCAGCCACACUGGGACUGAGACACGGCCCAGACUCCUACGGGAGGCAGCAGUGGGGAAUAUUGGACAAUGGGCGAAAGCCUGAUCCAGCAAUGCCGCGUGAGUGAUGAAGGCCUUAGGGUUGUAAAGCUCUUUUACCCGGGAUGAUAAUGACAGUACCGGGAGAAUAAGCUCCGGCUAACUCCGUGCCAGCAGCCGCGGUAAU
This 450-nucleotide ribosomal RNA is filed under the name uncultured bacterium. RNAcentral's name for it is "bacterial SSU rRNA". It matches the Rfam family "Bacterial small subunit ribosomal RNA", at positions 29 to 524 of the family's 1533-position model. The record is from RNAcentral.